This 200-nucleotide ribosomal RNA is filed under the name uncultured bacterium. Its description in RNAcentral is "partial 16S ribosomal RNA". It matches the Rfam family "Bacterial small subunit ribosomal RNA", at positions 524 to 723 of the family's 1533-position model. The record is from RNAcentral.
UACGUAGGCUCCAAGCGUUGUUCGGAAUUACUGGGCGUAAAGCGAGUGUAGGCGGUCCGUCAAGUUGGUUGUGAAAUCUCCCGGCUCAACUGGGAGGGUGCAAUCAAAACUGACGGACUAGAGUCUGGGAGAGGAGAGUGGAAUUCCUGGUGUAGCGGUGAAAUGCGUAGAUAUCAGGAGGAACACCGGUGGUGAAGACG